RNAcentral lists this long non-coding RNA (8676 nucleotides) under Nicotiana tabacum (common tobacco). RNAcentral's name for it is "long non-coding RNA (NTAB_LNC010799)". The record is from RNAcentral. Lineage: Eukaryota; Viridiplantae; Streptophyta; Magnoliopsida; Solanales; Solanaceae.
UCAGCGGGAAAAACUCACAAUUUCAAAUAUAACACUCCCAAAAUCCGGUGUCACUGAGUACAUGAGCAUCUAAUAUGAAUACAAAGUCUGACGGAUAAAAAUCACUGUUUGAAAAUAUAGAACAGUACACUAAUUAAACAGAAAAAGAAUCGAGUCUGCGGACGUCAAACAACUACCUUGAUAUUUCCCAUAGAAUUAACUUCGAAAUCUAGCAGCCGCCGUAUCUGGAAGCACCUGGAUCUGCACACAAUGUGCAGAUUGUAGUAUGAGUACAACUAACUCAAUAAGUAACAAGACUAACCUCUGGGCUGAAAGAAAUGACGAGUUCCGCAGGUACAUUCCACUAUAAAUAAUGGUACAAAAAUGUAGGCAUGCUUUCAAGUUCAACAGUUAAACUCAGUACAAGGAAAAUAGAUCAAUACUGUAUGAUAUGAGAAAUACGACAUAUCAGUUGAAAUACCUCAAGUAAAUACUGGUCACUAAUUAUUCGAUCACUCGGUACUGUUUAUGGCCAAUCCAGCCCAGGGGUGUUCCAACCCGUAUGUAAAUACACAUCGACUGACAGUCAGACACUCAGUACCGUAUAAGGCCAAUCCAUCCCUGGGGUAAAUAACCCCAAAUAUAAAUGAUACGGACAAGAUCCAUGUCCAGGUAAAUUAAUUACAAUAUAAAUAAGGCAAGUCCAUGCCCUGGUAAAUCCAUCCCGAAUAUAUAUAAUCAUCUACGCUCAAUGGGGUGUGUACAGACUACGGAGGGGCUCCUUCAGCCCAAGCGUGAUAUAAAACCUUUAUGGCUUACUGCAGGCGGGCAGUCCCGAUCCGUAUAAUAAUAAAGCCUAUAAAGCCUGCUGCAGGCGGACAAUCCCGAUCCAAAAAAUAGUAAAGCCUAUAAGGCCUGCUACAGGAGGGCAGCCCCGAUCCAUAUAAUAAUAAUAAUGUAUAAAGCUAUUAUGGCCUGCUGCAGGCGGGCAACCCCGAUCCAGAAUAAUAAUAAUAAUAAUAAUAAUAAUAUAUAUAAAAGCCAAUAUGGCCUGCCGCGAUGCGCAACUCGAUCCCAUAAUUAUCCUCACAAUGGACAAAUAUGACUAAGUAUGAAAUGUAUAUUUUCUAAAUAAUUAAUUCAAUGGCAACACGAUUCUAUGGGUCCUAAAAUAUCGGCACAUAGCCUAAACAUGAUCUUUAUUACGAGCCUCAGCUCAAUUCCUCUAACAUGUGUCACAUGUUCAGAUAAUAACAUUAUCUUUUAAUUUUACAACUUCACAAGAUUUAUUCAAGACACAUUUUUUGUGGCACACGUCUACAUGCUCGUCACCUAUCGUGUGUGUUACCUCCAAAUAAUUUAUAUCAUACCAAAUUUCGAGGAUUCAUAGCCUCAGAACCAAGUUUAGAAGUGUUACUUGCCUCAAACCGUGUAAUUCUUUACUUCGAUAUGCCUUUGCCUCGUGAAUUGUCCUCCAAACGCCUCGAAUCUAGCCACUAUUAAUUCAAUUCAGUUAAUAAAAUUUAUUGGAAUUAAUCCCAUAAGAAAAUAAAAAUAUUCCAACAAAAUUCGAAAUUUAGCUCAAAAAUCGCAUGUGGGGCCCAUAUCUCAGAAUCUGACAAAAAUUACAAAAUCCAAAAGUCCAUUCAAUCACGAGUCUAACCAUACUAAUUUUAUCAAAAUCCGACUUCAACUCGACCUCCAAACCCUCAAAUCUUAUUUUCAAAUCCCUAGAUUCAAAUCCCCGAUUUACACUUAAAAAACACGUAAUAUAGUCGGAUUAUUCGUUGAUAUUUCAAUAUUAUGAAGAAGAAAUGAUCACAAGUGACUUACCUCAAUAUUUCCCGUGAUUUCUCGCUCAAACAUCGCCUCAACCCCCGUUGGAAAUGUUAGAAAUGACAAAAAAUCUCGGACUCCUCUGUUUUUAACAUUCAGCCCAGGAUUUUCGCACCUGGACCCCCUAACCACACCUGCGGAAUCGCUUAUGCGGUGAAAUUUCCGCUUCUGAGGAAGCCACUUGGUUUCCCAAAUGCCGUACCUGCGCUCCAUCUCCCGCACCUGCGGAGCCGCACCAGCGCUCCUUCGCUCGCGCGUGCAUGAGCCGAUUCUGCGCAACAUGAGCCGCUUCUUCGGCAUCACACCUGCGGCCAAUUUCACGCAGGUGCGAUCACACCAGAAGACAGAAAAUUUCCAGAUUUUAUCUAAUUCCGAAUUUGAUCCGUUAACCAUCCGAAACUCCCCCGAGACCCUCGGGACCUUAACCAAAUACACCAACAAAUCCUAAAACAUCAUACAAACUUAAUCGAGUUUUCAAAUCACACCCAACAACACUAAAAAUACGUAUCACACAUAGAUUCAAGCCUAAUGAACUUUGAAACUUCCAAUUUCUAUAAACGACGCCGGAACCUAUCAAAUCACGUCCGAUUAACCUCAAAUUUUGCACACAAGUCAUAAAUGACAUAACGAAGCUAUGAAAAUUUUCAGAACUGGAUUCCGACCCCGAUAACAAAAAGUCAACUCCCCGAUUUAAUUUCUCUAAAAUUCAAUUUUCGCCAUUUCAAACCAAAUUCUACUACGGACUUUCAAAUAAUUUUCCGAACACGCUCCUAAGUCCAAAAUUACCAUACGGAGCUAUUGAAAUCAUAAAAACUCUAUUCCGGGGUCGUUUACACAUAAGUAGACAUUCAGUCACUAUCUUAACUUAAGCUUUAAACCUUGGAACUAAAUAUUCCAAUUCAUUCCAAAACCUUACCGGACCUGAACCAAUUAACCUAGUAAGUCAUAAAAUAACUGUAAAGCAUAAAUUGAGCAGUAAAUGGGGUAGUGGGAUAUAAUACUCAAAACGACAGGCCGGAUCCUUACAACCAAUCUUUGCUUCUUCAGCUAAAUGGAUGACUAGAUGUUCCAUGAUAUCAAAAAAAGAUGAAGGAAAUAUUCUAUGAUGAUCCAAAAUGUCAUCUUUAAAUUCAAUAAUUAAUUCUAUGUUCUAAGACCUAGAAAAGCACUAUUUAUUAUUCCUCGACUUGCGUGCGAUGUCCGUAAAAUUUUCCGAAAAGUUUUCAGGUAAAAAAUAUAUUAAAAUGUGAAUUAGAGCUUUAAAACUAAUUGAGUUGACUUUGGUCACAUUUUGAGAAAACGGACUCGGAUCAAUAUUUUAACAGUUCUGGUAGGUCCGUAUCGUGAUUUGGGACUUAGACGUAUGUCCAGAAUCAAAUUCCGAGGUCCUUAGCCCGAGAUAUGGAAUUUUGAUAAAAAAUUAAAAGUUUAAGUUCAAAUAGUGACCGAAUGUCAAAUUAUGUGCAAACGACCCAGAAAUAGAAUUUUGAUGAUUCUAACAACUCCGUAUGGUGAUUUUGGACUUAGGAGCAUGAUCGGAAUUUUAUUUAGAAGUCCGUAGUGGAAUUAGGCUUGAAAUGCCAAAAGUUGAAUUUUUGGAAAGUUUGACCGGGGGUUGACUUUUGAUAUCGAGGUCGGAAUCCGAUUUUGGAAAUUGGAAUACGUCUGUUAUGUUAUUUAUGACUUGUGUGCAAAAUUUGAAGUCAUUCCGAAUUGAUUUGAUGUGUUUCGGCACAAGAUAUAGAAUUUGAAAGUUCAAAGUUCAUAGAUUUUGAUUUGAGGUACGAUUCGUCGUUUUGAUGUUGUUUGAUGUGGUUUGAAACCUCGACUAAGUUCGUAUUGUAUUUUGGGACAUGUUGGAAUAAUUGAUUAAGGUCCCGAGGGUCUCGGGUGGAUUUCGAAAGGUAAACGGAAUGGAUUUCGGACAAAGAGGGUUGCUGGAAAUUUCUGUUGCAGAACUUUCGCCAGAAAUUUCUGUUGCAGAAAUUUCUCCAGAAAUUUCUGGUGCGUGAAGCCAACUUUGGAAACUUAUAUCUCGCAAUUCAUAAGGAAUCCUAAUAUUUUCAAAACAUGAAAGUUGUAUUCGUUUGAUUAUAGUUUCCAUAAAGUUACACCAUUUAUUAUUUGGACAUUCGUACAGAAAGUUAUGAUGGAUUGAAUGAAGGCCGGUAGAGCAGUUUCACCAGAAAUUUCUGAUGCAUGGAGCCGACUUUGGAAGCUUAUAUCUCGCAAUUCAUAAGGAAUCGAAAAUGUUUCAAAACAUGAAAGUUGUAGUCGUUUGAUUCUAGUUUCCAGAAAAUUAAACCAUUCAUCAUUUGGAUAUUUGUACAUAAAGUUAUGAUUGAUUGAAGGAAGGCUGGAACAAGCAAGUUCUGGUGGACAUUUAGUGACGAAAAAUGGACUUUUAGUGACGGAUGGGCAGAAACUUAAGGACCAAAAAUGGUAAUUUCCUUCAUUUCGUUUUGGAUUUUUGGAGCACGGUUCUUGCGCGAUUUUUGGGCGAUUUUUACGGAAAAAUAUUGGGGUAAGUGUUCCUUAUCCUAUAUUGAUUAUAUUUCAUGAUUCCAUACUCAUUUACAUCAUGAAUCAGUGAAUUUAUGGAAGAAAAAUCAAGAUUUUUGCAAAAUCUUUCAAAAACGAAAAUUUAAGAUUUGGAGGUCGAGUUGUUAUUGGAAUUUGAUAAAAUUGAUAUAGGUGGGCUCGUAAUUGAAUGGGUUGUCGGAUUUUGUAAGUUUCACCGGAUUUCGAGAUGUGGGCCCUACGGGCAAAUUUUGAGCUAAUUUCGGAUUUUAUUGAAAAAUGUAAUAUUUUCUUAUGAAAUUGAUUACUAUAAUUUUUGUUGACUCUAUCAAACUAAUUAUGACUAGAUACGAGUUGACCAGAGUCGGAAAAUCGAGAAAAAAGCAUAAUACUUGGUUAAAUUGGAGCAAGUCGAGGUAAGUGACUUGUCUAACCUUGUGUGGGGGAAAUUUCCCCUAUGAUUGAUAAUUAUAAUGUGUGAAAAGUCGUGUACACGAGGUGACAAGUGUGUACACGGGCUAAAUGUGAAAGAUUAUAUUUUAAAUUGUGUAGAUCACUGUUGCGCAUUAAUUAAAUUACUUCAUUUUGUUAUAUUCUUCAUUAUUGAUUUAAUGUUUAUAUUUUAAAUUUGCUUGACCUUUUCCUGCUAAUUAUUUUAUCUGUUUAGUUGGAACUUGGUUUCUUUUAUUCUGUGCAUUAGUUGAAGGUUGAUUUUCUUUAAAUUAAAUAUUAUUAAUAUGAAGUAUUUGACAUUUUUAAACUUGAUAUUAAAGCAACGUAUUAAAGAUUUUGAAAUAUUAUUUUCCUGAAUUAUUUACUCCUGGAUAUUUUUGUAAGAUUUCCGUACUCAUUGUGAUGGAGCAGUGAGCUCUUUAUUGUGAAAAAAUAUUAUUGUUGAAUUAUUUUGACAUGAGCCGUGAGCUCUUUAUUGUAAAAAAAUAUUAUUGUUGAAUUAUUUUUGACAUGAGUCGUAAGCUCUUUAUUGUGAAAAAAUAUUAUUGAUGAUUUAUUUUGGCAUGAGCCGUGAGCUCUUUAUUGUGAAAAAAUAUUGUUGUUGAAUUAUUUUCGCAAGUUAAAUUAUUUGAGCACUUGAGGUGCAAAUUGUGAUAUAUUGUGAUAUUGAUACGCAUGCGGUGGUAUAAGGUUUGUGUAUUGAAACGCAUGCGGCGAGAUAAGGGUGACUUUAUAUGCGUGGCUAGUAGGGGGAACUACUUGAAGUCAUGCGGUAUGAUAAGGAUGGCUAAAACGUGGGAUGCUAUUUUGGAAAAAAUAUUUUCUUUCAAAUAAAUUGUGAAGGCUCCCGCGAUGAGAUAAGAAAAUGAGAUAUUGUGAAUUUAUUUAUGAUUUGGGACUACGAAGCGGUACCUCGGGAGUGUCCUUGUUGAUAUUGAUUUAUGGCCGCAGUUGCCUUUGAUUAUUUGUUGUGAUUUUUCUUGAAGUUGAAAGGAAAUUUUGUUUUGUUUUCACGAGAUGUUAUUUGUCAUUAUUUUGUGUAAUUAAACGGUAACAUGCUACUUGAUUCAUUUCCAUCGUUAUUUUAUUUUAUUAUAUUGUUAAAUAUUUUACCAUGCCAAUUAUUAUUUUUCAGUAGGGCCUGACCUGACCUCGUUACUGCUCUACCGAGGUUAGGCUUGGCACUUACUGGGUACCGUUAUGGUGUCCUCAUACUACGCUUCUGUACAUCUUUUUGUGCAGAUCCAGGUACACCUUAUCAGACCAGGCAUCAGUAAACUAGCUGUACGAGGAGACUUCGAGGUAUAUCCGCCAGCGUCCGCAGACUCCGGAGUCCCCUUCUAUCUUACUAUGUUGUCUUCCUUAUUUGCUUUAGACUCUGAUGUAUAGAGACAUAUAGAAUAAAUUUUUAGAAGCUUGUGACUUAUUUCUACCGGAUUUUGGGAGUUGAAAUUGUUUUAAUUGUAGUUUAUUUAUUUCAGAUAUUUAUUAUUAUUUCGCAUUAAUAGGCUUACCUAGUCUUAGAGACUAGGUGCCAUCAUGACCUCCUACAGAGGGAAUUUGAGGUCGUGACACAUUCUCUCCAAAUGACAAAGAGUUAUUACAACUCGAUCUUGGAGCAUUUCUAAUUCACCUAUGUUCAUAACUGUUGAACAAAUGCCCAUAAUAAAAUUACUUAAUUCGAUCAUUGGCUUAAAAACAUUCAUUGGAAGGAGACCUCGCAAAGCAAUAGGAAGGAAUUGUUGCAUUAGCUCUUUUUUUAGGGUGCAAAGCCUUUCGAAUCUCCAUCUCUUGUAAAUCCAAACGAGAAUUCAGAUUGUCCUUUCCUUUCCCGUCAAUAUUUAGUAAUGUCCAGAAUAUAUUGUAAAAUAUAUUCUUUUCAAUAUGCAUUGUGUCAAGAUUAUGACGAAUUAUAUUGUCUUUCCAGUAGUCUAACUCAAAAACUAUGCUCUUUUUCAUCCAUAAAUAUUUGAACAUGGCAUCGUCAACAUGAUCAGAAUUCAUCCAUUUUCUUUUCUUGGAUUUGGUCGAUGGAUGUUUUCUGAAUUUAUUUUUAAUACCUUUCAAUUGCUUAAGAACUUCAAUUCCUGAUAAACAUUUAGGUGCUGCCUCUAACUCCUUAAAACCAUCAAACAGAACUUUAUCGUUUCGAAACUUGUGCCCAUGGGGUAACCAACGCCUAUGCGACAUGAAGCAAUAUUUUCGCCCAUAUUUAAAUCUCAAAAAUUUAGUCUUAGUCAGACAACAUGGUCAAGCAUAUCUAGUUUUCACACCAUACCCUGAUAAGUUACCUAGUGCUGAAAAAUCACUGACUGUCCAAAGCAAUGAAGCACGCAUUUGAAACAUAUGAUUCUUUGAUGCAUCAUAAUGUCAACACCAACCUACAAUUCUUUUAACUCAUCAAUUAACGGACGUAGAUAGACAUCAAUAUCAUUGCCUGGUGCAUGAAGGACAUCAAUAAUCAUUGAUAAUAUCAUGUAUAGUUGUUUCAUGCACAACCAUGGUGGCAAGUUAUAUGGAACCAAGAUAACUGACCAUGUGCUAUGUGAGAUAGACAUAGACUUGAAUGGAUUAAAUCCAUCUGAAGCCAAUCCAAGUCUAACAUUUCGAGGAUCUUAAGAAAAAUCUUGAUGUGAUUAAUCAAAUUUUCUCUAAGCAAUACUAUCAGCAGGAUGUCGCAUUACCCCGUUGAUGAAGAUGAUGUCUCACCAUGAAAAAUCUAAUUAACAUAACUAGGUAGAAAUCCAUCAACCACAUUAUGUUCAACAAUCAACUCUUUCGGGAUAAAUUUCAUAUUACGACACUUCCAACGUGGACACAAGAUUUCAGAUGCAUUAGGCCUAUCUAAUGAGGCAAAAUGAAGAAACUUUUUGGCUCUAUUCUCAUAUAGAGGAUCAUUCUUAUUCAAUAUGUUUAUCCAACAGUUAUCCAUUAAGAAUAACCUAUACAUAUAGCAAAAAAAUCAAUUAAAAGAGAGUAAUUAUAGAUAGAAACUAGAAAGAGUAUAUCGUAGAAUACGAAUAUAUAUUAUAAUUUAUACACUUUACUAAUGACUAUACAAAUGUGUUCAUUCAGAGCAUGGCAAAAAACAUAUCUAGUUUCUUUAUUUUUUUUUCCAAGUGAAUCUUACAAACUAGUUCACUCUAUCGCCACAAUAUUUAAUAUUUUAUCAUGACUAAGCAUAAUCAAACUGUAGAAUACCACAAUUGACAUCUUGAGUAAAUAAUCUAAUUGAACUCUAAGCAUAAUCUACCACUAAAUAAUGAAAAUAUUAUAUCCAACUUUAUAAAUGUACUAAACAACAAACACCCAAAAAUACACACAAAAAAAUCAAAAUCAAUCUACCAAUCAAUACCUAAAAGGGAAAAUUAUUAACUCAAAUCCAAACAAUUAAGAAAAAGAAAGAAAUUUGUUAACCAAAAUCCGAACAACUAAGAAAAAGAAAGAAAUCUGUUAACUAAAUUGGGUACCUUGAAUUUGUAGAAAAUAAGCUUCGUGAAUCUCAGUAGCAAAAGCCUCAGUGGCAAAAAAAAGCCUCAGCAAUUUUCGUCUUCAAGUAUCUAUUAUAGCACAAUGGAAUGCAAAAAAUUAGGUUUUUUUGUAGAAUUCUAACUAAGGAAGGAAAACUAUAUUUUUUAGAAUUGGGAGGAGGGAAGCAAAAUUCUUACUGCCAAAAUCUUUUCCUUCUAAAUCUCCUAUACUCUCCAUACAUUGCUCCUUUUGAGUCUUGGGGUGGAGGGAGCCGACUUGAGAAAUUUUGGCCAAACCCAAUUUGAGAUUUUGAGCCAAAAUUGAUUUUAGAUUGAGAGAAGAGAGCGGAUAGUUCCUUAGGUGCUUCUAAGGCUAGGAGCAUACGGCUAACCUAUGUUUCUCAAUUGUGGUCAUCAU